Molecule: ribosomal RNA, 2021 nt
Filed under: Listeria monocytogenes
Lineage: Bacteria; Bacillati; Bacillota; Bacilli; Caryophanales; Listeriaceae
Description: partial 23S ribosomal RNA
Rfam family: Bacterial large subunit ribosomal RNA
Source: RNAcentral
CUGAGUACGGCGGAACACGUGAAAUUCCGUCGGAAUCCGGGAGGACCAUCUCCCAAGGCUAAAUACUCCCUAGUGACCGAUAGUGAACCAGUACCGUGAGGGAAAGGUGAAAAGCACCCCGGAAGGGGAGUGAAACAGUUCCUGAAACCGUGUGCCUACAAGUAGUUAGAGCCCGUUAAUGGGUGAUAGCGUGCCUUUUGUAGAAUGAACCGGCGAGUUACGAUUUGUUGCAAGGUUAAGCGGAAAAAGCGGAGCCGUAGCGAAAGCGAGUCUGAAUAGGGCGCAUAAGUAACAGGUCGUAGACCCGAAACCAGGUGAUCUACCCAUGUCCAGGAUGAAGGUAAGGUAAUACUUACUGGAGGUCCGAACCCACGCACGUUGAAAAGUGCGGGGAUGAGGUGUGGGUAGCGGAGAAAUUCCAAUCGAACUUGGAGAUAGCUGGUUCUCUCCGAAAUAGCUUUAGGGCUAGCCUCGAGGUAAAGAGUCAUGGAGGUAGAGCACUGUUUGGACUAGGGGCCCUUCUCGGGUUACCGAAUUCAGAUAAACUCCGAAUGCCAUGUACUUAUACUCGGGAGUCAGACUGCGAGUGAUAAGAUCCGUAGUCGAAAGGGAAACAGCCCAGACCACCAGUUAAGGUCCCCAAAUAUAUGUUAAGUGGAAAAGGAUGUGGGGUUGCUUAGACAACCAGGAUGUUGGCUUAGAAGCAGCCACCAUUGAAAGAGUGCGUAAUAGCUCACUGGUCGAGUGACCCCGCGCCGAAAAUGUACCGGGGCUAAACAUAUUACCGAAACUGUGGAUGAACCUCUUUAGAGGUUCGUGGUAGGAGAGCGUUCUAAGGGCGGUGAAGUCAGACCGGAAGGACUGGUGGAGCGCUUAGAAGUGAGAAUGCCGGUAUGAGUAGCGAAAGAAGGGUGAGAAUCCCUUCCACCGAAUAUCUAAGGUUUCCUGAGGAAGGCUCGUCCGCUCAGGGUUAGUCGGGACCUAAGCCGAGGCCGAUAGGCGUAGGCGAUGGACAACAGGUAGAGAUUCCUGUACCAGUGCUAAUUGUUUAACCGAUGGGGUGACACAGAAGGAUAGGGAAUCGCACGAAUGGAAAUGUGCGUCCAAGCAGUGAGUGUGAGAAGUAGGCAAAUCCGCUUCUCGCGAAGCAUGAGCUGUGAUGGGGAAGGAAAUUAAGUACGGAAGUUCCUGAUUUCACGCUGUCAAGAAAAGCCUCUAGGAAGAGUAGUACUGCCCGUACCGCAAACCGACACAGGUAGAUGAGGAGAGAAUCCUAAGGUGAGCGAGAGAACUCUCGUUAAGGAACUCGGCAAAAUGACCCCGUAACUUCGGGAGAAGGGGUGCUCUAUUAGGGUGCAAGCCCGAGAGAGCCGCAGUGAAUAGGCCCAGGCGACUGUUUAGCAAAAACACAGGUCUCUGCAAAACCGUAAGGUGACGUAUAGGGGCUGACGCCUGCCCGGUGCUGGAAGGUUAAGAGGAGUGCUUAGCUUCGGCGAAGGUACGAAUUGAAGCCCCAGUAAACGGCGGCCGUAACUAUAACGGUCCUAAGGUAGCGAAAUUCCUUGUCGGGUAAGUUCCGACCCGCACGAAAGGCGCAACGAUCUGGGCACUGUCUCAACGAGAGACUCGGUGAAAUUAUAGUACCUGUGAAGAUGCAGGUUACCCGCGACAGGACGGAAAGACCCCGUGGAGCUUUACUGCAACCUGAUAUGGAAUGUUUGUACCGCUUGUACAGGAUAGGUAGGAGCCGAAGAGACGUGUGCGCUAGCAUACGAGGAGGCAAUGGUGGGAUACUACCCUGGCUGUAUGACCAUUCUAACCCGCCACGCUUAGCGCGUGGGGAGACAGUGUCAGGUGGGCAGUUUGACUGGGGCGGUCGCCUCCUAAAGAGUAACGGAGGCGCCCAAAGGUUCCCUCAGAAUGGAUGGAAAUCAUUCGCAGAGUGUAAAGGCACAAGGGAGCUUGACUGCGAGACUGACAAGUCGAGCAGGGACGAAAGUCGGGCUUAGUGAUCCGGUGGU